CAGAUUUUAGUUUCAUUGAGUCUAAUAUUUUUUGACUCAAGGGCUGUUUUUAGUAUAGAUGCCUGCCACUACUUUCCCGUGUGUGUGCUGGCUAUUAUCCCCUUUAUAGGGAGUGUGAUUGGUGUUGUAGUGACUUAGAUAUAUGUUUAUAUGUGUAUUGUAUAUAUAUAAUGGCCAUCCUAACAAAUGUGAAGUGAUAGUCUAUUAUAGUUGUGGUUGCAUUUCCCUGAUGAUUAGUGAUGUUGAGUACCUUUUUAUAUUCCUUUUAGGUGUUUGCAUAUCUUCUUUGGAAAAAUGUCUUAAGUUUCUUUGCCCAUUUUAAAUUGGGUUAUUUGGCUUUUUGCUAGAGAUAUAAAAGUUCCCUAUAUAGUUUGGACAUUUGGUUUGUGAAUAAUUUCUCCCAUUCCACAGAUAUCCAAACUGGGAUAGUCAGUCACCUUUCCAAUGCCCAUAUGAAGCUUUACUGAAAACAUUAAGAUAUAUAUGAGUUCAGUCUUUGCAAAGGACGUCCCACCUGGCCAGUCUUGUGCUCAAGAGCCAUCUACUAGUAACCCCAGAAAAAUUUGUCUUAGGGAACUCUGUCUCAUGGACCAAUACUUCAGAAAAAGACCACAACCUAUACCAUAAUCCUUAUAGCCACUAGAGAAAACAUGAUUAAGUGCUAUCUCUGAGGACAUAACCAUAGAACACUGUGUCUGACUCAAGUAGUCUUUUUUUUUUUUUUUACUUAGUGGACAGCACUUUGAGUACAAAGUGGUUUUUUUUGUUGUUUUUUGGGUUUUUUUUUGUUUUUUUUUUUUUUUUUUGUCUUUUCAGGGCCAAACCUGCAGCACAUGGAAGUUCCCAGUCUAGGAGUCUAAUCGGAGCUGUAGCCGCCAGCCUACACCACAGCCACAGCAACUCAGAAUCCAAGGUGCAUCUGCAACCUACACCACAGCGCAUGGCAACGCUGGAUCCUUAACCCACUGAUCGAGGCCAGAGAUCGAACACACAACCUCAUGGUUCCUAAUUGGUUUCAUUUCUGCUGCACUAUGAUGGGAACUGCUGAGUAUAAAGAUUUUUGUUUAUUUACUUAUUUUUGGCUGCGUCACAGCAUAUAGAAGCUCCUGGGCCAGGGACUGAAUCUAAGCCACAGGUGUGACCUAUGCCCCAGCUGUGGCAAUGCUGGAUCCUUAACCUCCUGUGACGCAGCAGGAACUCCAGGUUUCAUAUUUUUUAAAAAAGAUAUUUUCAACUUUUCUUGAAAUAUUGGAUGUUCUGAUAAUAUUGGUCUAAGCUCUUACAUGCCAUAAAUCUAUUCCAUCUGAGAGUAGCAACUUAUUACCUCAACUGGGGCAUUUGUUUCCAAAUCGUUAUAUUCUCCACAAGAUCAAUUUUACACUUUCCCUCACCUGCGCCCUGCAGGCCAUUGAGUUUACAACCUAUUCUUUAGUUGAAGAGGAUACAGAGAAAGGAAGACAUGCUUCAGAAAUGAAUGAUUCAGAUUUCAGUUCUGCAACUGGCCAGUUUCUUAGUAAACUUUCAGAAUUUUAUCCACUUCCUGUUUGAAAAUCCAGGAAUCAGACAAUUUCACUGUCAUUAGAACAUAAACAUGAGUUUGAAAAUAUAUAAAUGACCUUGUUUGAAAGAAAACAAUAAAAGAGAGCUAUUAUCAAUUCUACUUCAAAUACAAACUCAUAAAAAGUGAUAUCAGAUUUGUGGUCACCAGAGGGGAGGGAGUGGCGAAGGGGGAAUUGGAUGAACACAGUUAAAAGGUACAAACUUACAGUAAUGAGAUAAAUUAGGACUAGGGAUGUAAUGUAUAUCUUGAUAAAUAAAAUGAACACUGUUCUACAUAUUAUAUAGGAAAGGUAAGAGUAAAACCUGAGUUCUUAUCGCAAGGAAAAAUAUUUAAUUUUGUAUCUAUAUAAGAUGAUUGAAUGUUUACUAAACUUACUGUGAUAAUCAUUUCAUGAUGUAAGUUGAAUCAUUAUGCUGUAUACCUAAAACUUAGUGCCCUAAGCCAUUUCUUUCUCAAUAAAACUGGCUGAAAAGAGACCCUAGAUCUAAAUUGUACUUAAUUGUAUGGUAUAGAUCCCAGAUACUCAACAAAACAAAUAUGCAUUAUUUAGCUUAAAGAAUAUAUUUUUCAAGUGUUGAGGCAAAGGAGAGAGGGAAGUGUAUGCUAAGAAGAAAGUCAAUAUUGUCUCUUAAGAGGAAAAAAAAAAACAGAAAUGUCAUUUCCUUUUCUAAACCUUCAUUAGAUGAUAGGGAAUCAGUAACACUUGCGUUACCUAGAUUAGCUUCUUAUCCAAAAGCCCAAGAGUCAUGUAUAGCGAUGAUCUUAGAUCAAAAAAGUAUAUCUUACAUUAGUUACUCUGCUUCUCCACACUGAUUUCUUUUCAAGUGGCAGCUGUCUUGAAUUUACUCUCGCAUACAUUUAACUUAAUGCUAAGUGAAAUCAGAUGAGGAAAUAAAAUCAUAUCAUUGUAAAAAGAUCUCAAAACCUGCACAAGUCUUUAAACCUUGUUACAGGCCUUACUUUGGCUUUCUAAAGUCUAACUCAAAGCAAAUAAUCUUACUGUGUUAUGUUUUUAUUUUUUUAAUUUACUCUGAGGUUCAUAUACGUAUAUAUUAUAUACGUACUUCCAACAGCAAUCAGAAUUAAAGUCACUAUUUACAAAUUCUUCAGAGUAGACUUUAAAUAGAUCUUUUUUUAUUGACUACAGUGUAAGCCAAAGGUUGUAGACAGAUGUUCUAACAGACAACUUUUAAAUAUGUAUUUCAAUGAAUUUGAGUAAGAAGAAGUGAACACUCCAUUCACAAAGUUGUCAGUAUUCUCUAUUUUCAUAAGUUGGUUUUCCAUCUCUCACCUCUUUUACCUUAUGUCCCCAAAGGCAUGUGAGUCUGGGACCCCUGAAUUGUCAACAUGUCUACUAACAUAGAAUUUGCCACAACUAAAUUAAUACCAGAUUCAGAAAGAGAGCAAAAACUAUUCUGUAAUUUUUUUAAUUUUUUCUGUUUUUUAGGGCCACACCCACAACAUCUGGACAUACCCAGGAUAGGGUCAAAUUGGAGCUGUAGCUGCCAGUCUACACCAUAGCCACAGAAAUGCCAGAUAUGAGCCACCUCUGUUGACCUAUACCAUGGCUCACGGCAAUGCUGGAUCCUUUAACCCACUGAGCAGUGCCAGGGAUCAAACCCAUGUUCUCAUGGAUAAUAGUUUGGUUUGUUUCUGCUGAGCCACAAUGGAAACUCUUGUAAUCUUUAAUUUAGAAAGAAAUUCAUGGAUUUCAAGAAACAGACUGUGUCUGGAUUUUUAUUGACACAUGCCCAAGCUGAGAUAUUUCAGGAAAGUUAGAGAGAUGGCUUGGAGACAGUGGUUCUCAAACUUGAGCAAUUGCGCAUCUGAGUCACCUGGAAAACUUGUAAAAAUACCACUUGUUGGGCACUACCCCCAAAGUUUCUUAUUAAAUAGCCUUUGCAUUCUAACAGGCUUCCAGGUGAUAUUGAUACUACUUGCUCAGAGACCAAAUUUUGAGAAUUACUGAGUAAGAUAUACCCGUAGACUUGACAUAGUUUUAAAAGGAAGGACAAUUUUUUGGUCAAGUUUCUCUUUUAGGACACAUACACAUAUAGCCACUCAGACUUUAUUUUCUUUACUAAAUAUUAAAAUUCCUUUAGAUAGACCCUAGUGGUAACAAUAGUGAUGGUGGUAAGUUACUGGAAAACAAUAAAUAAGAUUUAGAAGGAUGGAGAGAGAUGGGUUAGGAAGGUGGUUUGAGGGUUAGACCUUAUACUCACAGAAUACACUGACUUGAGAGAGACCAUUCUCGAGCCAGACAGCAUGAACAAUAUUAUAGCUUUGGCAGUUCCUUUUGUGGCUCAGCAGGUUAAGAACCAGACAUAGUAUCUGUGAGGAUGCGAGUUCAACCCCUGGCCUCACUCAGUGGAUUAGGAUCUGGUGUUGCCUCAAGCUGAGAUGCGGGUUGCAGAUGCAGCUCCAAUUUAACCCCUAGACCAGGAACUUCCAUAUGCUACAGAUGCAG
RNAcentral lists this long non-coding RNA (4028 nucleotides) under Sus scrofa (pig). RNAcentral describes it as "lncRNA (ENSSSCG00000057188.1)". The record is from RNAcentral. Lineage: Eukaryota; Metazoa; Chordata; Mammalia; Artiodactyla; Suidae.